UACGUAGGGGACGAUCGUUGUCCGGAUUCAUUGGGCGUAAAGAGCUCGUAGGCGGUCGCGUAAGUCGGGUGUGAAAACUCCGGGCUCAAUCCGGAGGGGCCACCCGAUACUGCUCGACUUGAGUCCGGUAGGGGAGUGGGGAAUUCCUGGUGUAGCGGUGAAAUGCGCAGAUAUCAGGAGGAACACCGGUGGCGAAGGCGCCACUCUGGGCCGGUACUGACGCUGAGGAGCGAAAGCGUGGGGAGCAAACAGG
RNAcentral lists this ribosomal RNA (253 nucleotides) under uncultured bacterium. RNAcentral's name for it is "partial 16S ribosomal RNA". It matches the Rfam family "Bacterial small subunit ribosomal RNA", at positions 524 to 776 of the family's 1533-position model. The record is from RNAcentral.